UACGUAGGGUGCAAGUGUUAAUCGGAAUUACUGGGCGUAAAGCGUGCGCAGGCGGUUUUGUAAGUCUGUCGUGAAAUCCCCGGGCUCAACCUGGGAAUUGCGAUGGAGACUGCAAGGCUAGAAUCUGGCAGAGGGGGGUAGAAUUCCACGUGUAGCAGUGAAAUGCGUAGAGAUGUGGAGGAACACCGAUGGCGAAGGCAGCCCCCUGGGUCAAGAUUGACGCUCAUGCACGAAAGCGUGGGGAGCAAACAGG
This 253-nucleotide ribosomal RNA is filed under the name uncultured bacterium. RNAcentral describes it as "partial 16S ribosomal RNA". It matches the Rfam family "Bacterial small subunit ribosomal RNA", at positions 524 to 776 of the family's 1533-position model. The record is from RNAcentral.